Colossoma macropomum (tambaqui) is the source of this 993-nucleotide RNA transcript. It is a transcript of the gene named B-cell receptor CD22-like, with no coding region annotated. NCBI's taxonomy places the organism in Eukaryota, Metazoa, Chordata, Actinopteri, Characiformes, Serrasalmidae. The record is from RefSeq and is a predicted model, not a curated record. The transcript is spliced from 5 exons.
UGGAUAAAGGAGCUCUGCAGAAAUCAAAAAGUCAGAUCUACAGAAUCUCAAACAUCAGCUUUGCAGAUAGGGGGGAAUAUCAGUGCAUGGCAACCAACCCUCAAAAUUCUCAAUACUCAGAGUACAAGUCAUUAACAGUUUUAUGUAAGGUCAUUUUCUGCUUGGCUUGAAUUUUUAAAAAUGAAAUUAUCUGACAUCAUCUCUGUAUUUAAAGAUGUUCUACUGCUUUCUUCUUUUCUAGAUGGUCCAAAGAAAGUCCUGGUGUCCAUCAGUGAAACAGCAGAGGGCAGUUCAGUGACUCUGACCUGCAGCAGUGAUGCAAACCCACCUGUGCAGAACUACACCUGGUUUAAAGAAGGUGGAAGCUCACCUGUAGGAUCUGGACACAGUUACAGGGCUCUACAGAGUGGAUCCUACUACUGUGUGGCUCAGAAUGAACACGGAUCUCAGAAAUCAGCUGCAGUGACUGUCACUGAAAAAGGAGUUGGGAAUUCAGCUCUAUAUGCAGUUAUUGGAGUCACAGCUGGAUGUGGAUGUUUAUCUGUUAUCAUUGCUGUAUUUUGUGUAAGGAGAAAGAGAAGAGGCAAUUCAGCUGAUGAUGCAAACCAAAAACAGAACGUUGACCCUAAUGCUAAGGACGACACGUACACAGCUCUUGACCCCGUGUCCAGGUCCUCUGAUGAUGUGUACAACACACUCACAGUAAGUGUCUCUUCAGAAACUCAGUUCAGUCAGACGUUCAGAUUUAUAAAGAAUUCCUACAAAGUCCACAUUUCUUCAUUUCUCCUCCUCUGCUUCAUUCUCUCUUUCCCUCACACAGACUGUUCAUUCCAGUCCUUCUGAUGAUCUGUACUCAGCUCUGGAUCCUCAGUCUCGCUCUCCUGAGUACGACACUCUAGCAACUGUCAGAAACCAACACUGAAACCAUCACCAUGGAAACCACUCAAACUGAAGAGAACCACCCACUGAAGUCAGAUGAGAGAGAGAGAGAGA